Molecule: long non-coding RNA, 554 nt
Filed under: Helianthus annuus (common sunflower)
Lineage: Eukaryota; Viridiplantae; Streptophyta; Magnoliopsida; Asterales; Asteraceae
Description: sRNA HanXRQr2_Chr12g0536911
Source: RNAcentral
UUAAUACCUUAGAUUAAUUAGUUUGUAUAAACCACAGGGACUAACUAUGUAAUUAAUACCCUCACCACAUGUUAAAAACAUGGAAAGUUAGUACCCCAGGAUGUGAUUUUAAACUAUUAGUACCUUACAUUGUUACUUUGUGUAAACCACAGGGACUAACUAUGUAAUUAACUCUAAUCUUUCCGUCACCUGGUGGGAGAAAAUUUCUACAAGUCUACAUUCAUCCAUGCUUUAUGCAGUACCUGGAUUGUUGGAUGCCAUUAAUGUCUUGAUUUGAAAACUAGACAAUGUAGACCAUGUGCAAGUUUCAAUUCUCAUGGCAGGUUGCAUCUUCUAACAGCUCAGCUUCCAACUUAGGCGUGGUUUAUGGUCAUAAUGUUGGAUUUUGGUGCAGUUCUUGGAAUAGAUAGAUAAAGACACCAAAUCUUGGUAUUGGGAAGACGAUGACAGUUUGUGAUGUGUGUCAAAGUACAGGAGUCGGCGCCCAACAUAGAUCAUCACUACUUGGCAAUUGGAUUUUGUUUGUAACAUACAUCUAAGUAGAAGCAACAUAG